This 484-nucleotide ribosomal RNA is filed under the name uncultured bacterium. RNAcentral's name for it is "partial 16S ribosomal RNA". It matches the Rfam family "Bacterial small subunit ribosomal RNA", at positions 30 to 507 of the family's 1533-position model. The record is from RNAcentral.
AUUGAACGCUGGCGGCAGGCCUAACACAUGUAAGUCGAGCGGAUGAAGGGAGCUUGCUCCUGGAUUCAGCGGCGGACGGGUGAGUAAUGCCCAGGAAUCUGCCUGGUAGUGGGGGAUAACGUCCGGAAACGGGCGCUAAUACCGCAUACGUCCUGAGGGAGAAAGUGGGGGAUCUUCGGACCUCACGCUAUCAGAUGAGCCUAGGUCGGAUUAGCUAGUUGGUGGGGUAAAGGCCUACCAAGGCGACGAUCCGUAACUGGUCUGAGAGGAUGAUCAGUCACACUGGAACUGAGACACGGUCCAGACUCCUACGGGAGGCAGCAGUGGGGAAUAUUGGACAAUGGGCGAAAGCCUGAUCCAGCCAUGCCGCGUGUGUGAAGAAGGUCUUCGGAUUGUAAAGCACUUUAAGUUGGGAGGAAGGGCAGUAAGUUAAUACCUUGCUGUUUUGACGUUACCAACAGAAUAAGCACCGGCUAACUUCGUG